RNAcentral lists this ribosomal RNA (527 nucleotides) under uncultured bacterium. RNAcentral's name for it is "bacterial SSU rRNA". It matches the Rfam family "Bacterial small subunit ribosomal RNA", at positions 791 to 1320 of the family's 1533-position model. The record is from RNAcentral.
UAGUCCACGCCGUAAACGAUGUCAACUAGCCGUUGGGGGGUUACCCUCUGAGUACCGGAGCUCACGCAUUAAGUAUCCCGCCUGGGGAGUACGGUCGCAAGGCUAAAACUCAAAGGAAUUGACGGGGGCCCGCACAAGCGGUGGAGUAUGUGGUUUAAUUCGAAGCAACGCGCAGAACCUUACCUAGGCUUGACAUUCUUCGACAACCCCAGAGAUGGGGCUUCUCCUUCGGGAGCGGAGGGACAGGUGCUGCAUGGCUGUCGUCAGCUCGUGUCGUAAGAUGUUCGGUUAAGUCCGGCAACGAGCGCAACCCUUGUCCUUAGUUGCUACCAUUAAGUUGGGCACUCUGAGGAUACUGCCGGUGUCAAACCGGAGGAAGGCGGGGAUGACGUCAAGUCCUCAUGGCCCUUACGCCUAGGGCUACACACGUACUACAAUGGCAGACACAGAGGUCGCGAAACCGCGAGGUGGAGCUAAUCCCAAAAACGCUAGUCUCAGUCCGGAUUGGAGUCUGCAACUCGACUCCA